RNAcentral lists this transfer RNA (85 nucleotides) under Anaerolineae bacterium. RNAcentral describes it as "tRNA-Leu". It matches the Rfam family "tRNA". Rfam says of the family: Transfer RNA (tRNA) molecules are approximately 80 nucleotides in length. The record is from RNAcentral. Lineage: Bacteria; Bacillati; Chloroflexota; Anaerolineae.
GGGGAAGUGGCGGAAUUGGCAUACGCGCAUGACUUAGGAUCAUGUGGUUUACACCUUGCGGGUUCGAGUCCCGCCUUCCCCACCA